UGUACCUGGAGUGGUGCACAGCUGCCCACGCUUCAGUUAAUUUGCAGUGGGAUUUUCUGUUUCUCGUCUGAUUUAGGGCCUUUGUUAUUGUGUUUUUUGGACUUUUCUUCCCAUUUGCAGUGGUGCCUUUUUGUUGAUUAAAUGAUUCUCCUCACUCCAAGUGCCUCUUCGUUCCUGCAUUUGGAUACCCCCGUAACAAAGGGAAGUUGGAAAAUGACUGCCAAGCUGAAGGUUCUGAUGCCGUACUGUAUUACAGGUGGAUAGGCUCAUGGGUCAGCCGAGUGGUUCACCAGUGUUGGGAACGAGCUCUCCCAAAUUGUGACCUUCUUGCUGACCUGCGAAGAAUCCACAGAAAAACUGCAGCCCAUGUGUCAAGGACUGAUGGAGAGGUUUCAGCUGGCAAAUCAUCCGGCUCCAAAGAUCCUGUACGUUGAUCAGGGGUGUUGUUGUGCAGAAGGCCCAACAGCAGUGGAGACUUUGUUCCAGCCUUGAGAGUGGGAUGGUGCUUUGUCUAGACAUUUUUCACUUUUUACUGGAUCCACCAGUUUGAUGCAGCAUCUGAACUGACAGCCACUGUGCUGCAUUCAAGUCUGCACUGGCUGGGGCUGUUCUGGCCUACAACAAAAGCCACCUGGAUCUGCUCAUAAAGGCUGUCAAGGGCUAAGGGGGAAGCCUUGAAGACUUUAUCAGAUGACUGCAUUAUUCAGCAGCACAUUUCCAGGAAGCAGGUGAAGCACCACGUGUGGAGGGGAACUCUAGCACCACAGGAAACCUUCCAGUUCAUCCAGAUGGUGAUAGGAGCUGAAAGGUCCAGCUGGACUGGAUGAAAGUGGAGUGAGCCUCCUCAAAACACCAAAGGACAUCGAUGAGGUGUGGGCAUGCCAGCAGUGGCAUCUGGGCUCCAUUCAGGAUCCACCGGACUUGUGCAUGUACAGGGUGUUACCACCAUCAACGGUGUGGAUGUUCCUUUCUACAAAGGACUUUGUGGAAGCAACAGCCUGGACGGUUUCCACAAAGUGCAGCUAACAUGAUUCCAGGUAGAACACUGACGUGCAUAGAAGCAGCACAUGAAAUGUUUUGAAAAAUGAGGUUCCUGAAAAAUGUCACCACACAGGGCCACACUGUGCUGCACGUCCGUAUCAGGUGUACCUCAGAAGCGGCAUUGCUCGGUGGGAUUCUGACAGGAGCGCAGAUGUCGUGUUUGGAGGCAGAGACACAGGACGUACUCUGCUCUACUGCUGCAUGUUGGUCUUUUUAUUCUCAGAUUUGUUUUUGUUUUUUAAAACAGGAGGUCUGCAGUCCGAAUCCUCUUCCUGGUUUCCAGAAGUUGGAGGGAUUCUGCUCUCUGCUCGUGGGGAUUGGCAUGACUGAGAACAAGCUGUCCCUCCUCACAGAGCAAAGAAGUGGGGUUGGGGAAGCCUGGAAUGCCGUGGAGGAACAUGACAAGCAGCCGCAGACGUUUCAACAGCUGUACAGGAUGCACUGAGGCAACACCCUGUACUGCCGAACCAAGAGGGACGAUCUUGUUGACGCUGCUGUUAUCCAGAAAGUCAAAAUGGCUGAACGAUAUGCACCAGCUCAGCAAGACAUCACUGCCCAAAAAAACAGGCUGAUGUACACACUGGUGAAACUGUUGUGGCUGCGGACACCUCACGGCUCUCAAAGCAGCAUCCUAAAAGCGUAUGAACGCUUUCUUCCAGCAUCGUCUUCUGGUGAAGUACCCAAUCCUGUCCAAAGCGGGAUCUCUCCACCGUAGAUGAACAGCAACACGGUGAGAGACUUAAUACGUUUUCAGGAGAGGCUGCUGAACCUCAACGCCACCAAGCAGCCAUCCACCAUCACCUCCUCUGAGCUACCUCCAGCACCACAUCAGCCAGCUGUGCUGCCCCUCCAAGAUUACGUAUGCGCCCACCCAAAGCACCGCUGGAACAAAAAAGAUAAGAAAACAAAAAAAAAAAACAGAAAUCCCUCUGCCAUCUUCCACCUCCUUCCCAAAACCACCUGCACUAAUCCAGCACCAGAGAAAGGCUAAAAAAAAAUAAAAAUAAAAAAUAAACCUCCAACACCCCACAGCUGCUGCCUCAUCCUCCCUGAGCAUCUCCGUCAUUCAAAUAUACCUACUCCUGACAUUCCCCCCUCCAGCAUCAGCACCUCCUCCUGGGCAAAAGCCACUAUAAAAAAAAAAAGGAAGCUCAAAGAAAAAAAAUCAAGGGUAGAAAAUAUCCCAUUUUGCAUUCUCUGUUGCCAAAAAGAAAAAGUGUUUUUGCACAGUGAGUCGACAUCAAAAGGACUUGAAGACAGAGUUUAGGAAAGCUUUGAACAUUUUACCUCUGUGGACGACAUGUGUUUUUCAGGUGACACAAGUACUUUCUGAAACAAUAAAACUAUUUGUUUUUACACAA
Non-coding RNA from Oryzias latipes (Japanese medaka), 2402 nucleotides. The record is from RefSeq and is a predicted model, not a curated record. Lineage: Eukaryota; Metazoa; Chordata; Actinopteri; Beloniformes; Adrianichthyidae.